GCGCCGGUGGUGAAGUGGUCAAACACGGUUGGCUGCAACCCAACUAAUCGGCGGUUCAAAUCCGUCUCGGCGCU
This 74-nucleotide transfer RNA is filed under the name Armatimonadota bacterium. Its description in RNAcentral is "Armatimonadetes bacterium (rhizosphere metagenome) tRNA-Cys". It matches the Rfam family "tRNA". Rfam says of the family: Transfer RNA (tRNA) molecules are approximately 80 nucleotides in length. Their secondary structure includes four short double-helical elements and three loops (D, anti-codon, and T loops). Lineage: Bacteria; Bacillati; Armatimonadota. The record is from RNAcentral.